AGGAUGAACGCUGGCGGCGUGCCUAACACAUGCAAGUCGAACGAAGCACUUUUUUACGAUCCCUUCGGGGUGACGAAUUUGUGACUGAGUGGCGGACGGGUGAGUAACGCGUGGGAAACCUGCCUUGUACCGGGGGAUAGCAGUUGGAAACGACUGAUAAUACCGCAUAAGCCCACAGUAUCACAUGAUACAGUGUGAAAAAACUCCGGUGGUACAAGAUGGUCCCGCGUCUGAUUAGCUUGUUGGCGGGGUAAUGGCCCACCAAGGCGACGAUCAGUAGCCGACCUGAGAGGGUGACCGGCCACAUUGGGACUGAGACACGGCCCAAACUCCUACGGGAGGCAGCAGUGGGGAAUAUUGCACAAUGGAGGAAACUCUGAUGCAGCGACGCCGCGUGAGCGAUGAAGUAUUUCGGUAUGUAAAGCUCUAUCAGCAGGGAAGAUAAUGACGGUACCUGAGUAAGAAGCUCCGGCUAAAUACGUG
This 483-nucleotide ribosomal RNA is filed under the name uncultured bacterium. RNAcentral's name for it is "bacterial SSU rRNA". It matches the Rfam family "Bacterial small subunit ribosomal RNA", at positions 26 to 507 of the family's 1533-position model. The record is from RNAcentral.